UACGUAGGGUGCAAGCGUUGUCCGGAAUUAUUGGGCGUAAAGGGCUCGUAGGCGGUCCAUCGCGUCGGGAGUGAAAAGCUGGGGCUUAACCCCAGUCCUGCUUCCGAUACGGGUGGACUAGAGGUAGGUAGGGGAGAACGGAAUUCCGGGUGUAGCGGUGGAAUGCGUAGAGAUCCGGAAGAACACCGGAGGCGAAGGCGGCUUGCUGGACCUGGUCUGACGCUGAGGCGCGAAAGCGUGGGGAGCGAACAGG
RNAcentral lists this ribosomal RNA (253 nucleotides) under uncultured bacterium. RNAcentral's name for it is "partial 16S ribosomal RNA". It matches the Rfam family "Bacterial small subunit ribosomal RNA", at positions 524 to 776 of the family's 1533-position model. The record is from RNAcentral.